CCUACGGGUGGCAGCAGUGAGGAAUAUUGGUCAAUGGGCGCGAGCCUGAACCAGCCAAGUAGCGUGAAGGAUGACUGCCCUACGGGUUGUAAACUUCUUUUAUAAAGGAAUAAAGUGCGGCACGUGUGCCGUUUUGCGUGUACUUUAUGAAUAAGGAUCGGCUAACUCCGUGCCAGCAGCCGCGGUAAUACGGAGGAUCCGAGCGUUAUCCGGAUUUAUUGGGUUUAAAGGGAGCGUAGAUGGGUUGUUAAGUCAGUUGUGAAAGUUUGCGGCUCAACCGGAGAAGUGCAUUUGAAACUGGCAUUCUUGAGUACAGGUGAGGUAGGCGGAAUUCGUGGUGUAGCGGUGAAAUGCUUAGAUAUCACGAAGAACUCCGAUUGCGAAGGCAGCUUACU
Molecule: ribosomal RNA, 395 nt
Filed under: uncultured bacterium
Lineage: Bacteria
Description: partial 16S ribosomal RNA
Rfam family: Bacterial small subunit ribosomal RNA
Source: RNAcentral